GCAUUAGUCGUUGCCCCGGUAGCUCAGAGGUAGAGCUCCUGCAUAUAGUGAGCGAAAGCGCCUAGCAACAACUAGAAGGUGGUCGCAGGUUCGAAUCCUGCCCGGUGGCUAAGC
RNAcentral lists this transfer RNA (114 nucleotides) under Meloidogyne enterolobii. RNAcentral describes it as "tRNA-Tyr". The stretch from base 13 to 109 matches the Rfam family "tRNA". From Rfam's summary of the family: Transfer RNA (tRNA) molecules are approximately 80 nucleotides in length. Their secondary structure includes four short double-helical elements and three loops (D, anti-codon, and T loops). Further hydrogen bonds mediate the characteristic L-shaped molecular structure. tRNAs have two regions of fundamental functional importance: the anti-codon, which is responsible for specific mRNA codon recognition, and the 3' end, to which the tRNAs corresponding amino acid is attached (by aminoacyl-tRNA synthetases). tRNAs cope with the degeneracy of the genetic code in two manners: having more than one tRNA (with a specific anti-codon) for a particular amino acid; and 'wobble' base-pairing, i.e. permitting non-standard base-pairing at the 3rd anti-codon position. Lineage: Eukaryota; Metazoa; Nematoda; Chromadorea; Rhabditida; Meloidogynidae. The record is from RNAcentral.